UGGCGGACGGCUGAGUAACGCGUAGGUGACCUGCCCCGAAGUGGGGAAUAACUGCCCGAAAGGGUGGCUAAUACCGCAUGUGGUCGGACGUUCAUUCGUCCGAGUAAAGCCGCAAGGCGCUUCGGGAGGGGCCUGCGUCCGAUUAGCUCGUUGGUGGGGUAAUGGCCUACCAAGGCGACGAUCGGUAGGUGGUCUGAGAGGACGAUCACCCAGACUGGGACUGAGACACGGCCCAG
RNAcentral lists this ribosomal RNA (236 nucleotides) under uncultured bacterium. RNAcentral's name for it is "partial 16S ribosomal RNA". It matches the Rfam family "Bacterial small subunit ribosomal RNA", at positions 96 to 334 of the family's 1533-position model. The record is from RNAcentral.